AGUCAUAUGCAAAUGCUUUCACAUCAAAAUGUUGCUUGGUAGCUAACUUAAUCUAGUUAUAACUUUGUCUGGCUGGACGUAACGUCAAUUAACGUUUUACUAAAUACGUUGGCUGGGUAGCUUGCUAGUUAUCCCAUUUAAAGCCCCAGAUACUAGGACAACGACCUUAAGAGAUGCAGCUUAAGUUAAUAGCCAGUCACCUUAGUGCCCCCCUAACAGCCCUGCAGUGUAAUACACGGACGUAACAGCGCCCCCCCCCCCAGGCCACGAGCAGGACUGCAGGAGCUUCAGUCUGAAAUGUGUUGGCCUUGAGGUCCCAGGAUCAACAGGACAAGAGGGAGGACAGCCAGGCAAGAGACCUGUAUGUGACCCUGACUCAACAGAAGAUAAAUUAAGUCCAGCUGACCACACAAUGUGUGAUGAAUUAACAGUGUCACAGCAUGUGACCCUCAGCUGAUCUCAGGUCACGCACCAGUGGGCAGGAGAGCACUAAGGCAGAGCAAUGGCAGAAUCAGAGCACACAACUCCUCAGAGCAAUGACCCACCACCUGUCUCUCGCUCUCUCUCUCUCUCAAUGUGGGCAGAGGGGCCACUAUCUAGUCUAGAGGUUGUGUGAAUCAAAUGCAGAGGUGUAAAUACAUCUCUGACCUUUAUCUGUCCAUAAUCACUCACCAGUCACUUCCUCCUGGCAGUAACUGUCCUAUGCCCCACUGAAAUUUGCUUUGUUUUCAUUCCAUGAAUAAAAAUAGCAGAGCAUUUCCUGUUUGCAUUUUAUUUGCAGGCAUUAGUGUUUAUGUGUGCGUGUUCUGCUGUGGUGCCAUGGCAGGGAGCCUCUACUCCCCUGUGUUCCCAGCAUUUUAAGAGAAGAUGGCUGCCACAGUUUAACAAACCAAUAUCUGAGGAAAGAGUGAAGCAGGGCCUCUCCUUUUUAAAAGGCAAUCCAUUCUCCUGGCCCUGUGGAAGCAUGCUUUAUUUAUCAGCAGCUACACAUAGAUAAGUGUGUGGAGGGGGGAUGGGAGAUUCACAGGCAUUGCCUUUUCCCUUUCUCUGGACCGGACCAUCACAAACACAUGCAGUAAUGGUGAAACUGAGCUCUGAUCCUGUGAUAAUUAUUCAGAGGUGCUUGUUCUGUGAGCCUCACUGUCCUGUUUCUCCAUUACUCCUGCUGGCU
This is a long non-coding RNA of Conger conger (European conger), 1171 nucleotides long. RefSeq lists it as uncharacterized. The transcript has 3 exons. The record is from RefSeq and is a predicted model, not a curated record. Lineage: Eukaryota; Metazoa; Chordata; Actinopteri; Anguilliformes; Congridae.